Long non-coding RNA from Mastomys coucha (southern multimammate mouse), 458 nucleotides. RefSeq lists it as uncharacterized. NCBI's taxonomy places the organism in Eukaryota, Metazoa, Chordata, Mammalia, Rodentia, Muridae. The transcript has 3 exons. The record is from RefSeq and is a predicted model, not a curated record.
CGCGCCCUCUGGUGGUCAAUGGCACAAACAUCUCAAGUGGGAACGAUUCAUUUCCGUUGGUCCCUGUUUGCCACGGAGCCCUGCCAUGGGGUAGAGAGAGGCUGUUUGUUACACUGGCCCACAGUGAGGAGGAGAAAGGAGGGUCUGAGAGAGCAGCUAACACGCCCUCUACCGGAGGAACGCUGAGCUCUAUAUGACAUCUCUGAUUUGCUGUCACAGUGUGUUAUCUAAAUAACUCUGAGAGGGCAAGGACACAGAACCUGGUAACUUUUGGAGAAUCUCCAAGUGAACAAUCCUGCUGGAGACCAUGUUGUUCUGGACCAGAAAGUCAGCCAGAUCCCUUUUGGAUUUUCCCUAAGGAUCUUGCGCCAUGUGUGAAAGCUGGAACAUUUUCUCCAACGGCUCUCAAGAGACAACAAUUGUCUUUAGGUGAAUAAAUGAUACAAUGGCCCAAGGGA